Molecule: long non-coding RNA, 681 nt
Organism: Xiphophorus couchianus (Monterrey platyfish)
Lineage: Eukaryota; Metazoa; Chordata; Actinopteri; Cyprinodontiformes; Poeciliidae
Exons: 3
Source: RefSeq, a predicted model, not a curated record
GAUAUUUAAGAAACUAAUACUGAAUCUGCGUUCAUGAAUUUCUUUAUUUGGUUGUUAUCUGUAAAAUACGUCUACCUUGUGUUUUGUUGAACACCAGACAUCUCAUCUCUUUCCCACAAUUUUUCACUUAGUUCCACUACUGCAGUGGAUUUUAUAGUCAAUGUUUAAAGCCAACAGAGUCUGAAGCGAUGGAGGAAAUUUACGUCAAUAUGGAACCUGUUGGAAAAACUGCAUCUAAUCACACAGGUUGGAGCAGCUCCAAAGAGAGGCUCUGCCUCCAUGCGGCUGUCUGUUUGGGAAUCCUGAAUGUUUUACUUUUGGCUGAACUCAUCGCCCUCAGCAUACACACUCAUGACAUGACAGCAGAUUUUUCUGACAUCAGCAACAUUCUGACCGAGCAGAACAGCAGCAGCGAGUUUCCCUCCAUGAACGCUAACUUCACUGAAACGGCUCCACGAGCUGAAGACACUUUAAGGUUGGUCAAAAACUUUAAAAAAUUUGGAUCUCGUUAAAAAUUGAAUUCUACUCUGAAUUGUAGAGUAUAACUAAUAACUUUCCUUUUUGGUCUAAAUGAAUAUAAUGUAAAUGAACAACUUUUAUUUUAAUUUAUUAAGUGCUCUAUCAUUUGCGUGUGCUGAAAAACAACGAUGUAAAACAAACUAAACUUUGAUUGUUUUCUCC